RNAcentral lists this ribosomal RNA (404 nucleotides) under uncultured bacterium. RNAcentral describes it as "bacterial SSU rRNA". It matches the Rfam family "Bacterial small subunit ribosomal RNA", at positions 355 to 776 of the family's 1533-position model. The record is from RNAcentral.
UGGGGAAUAUUGGACAAUGGGCGAAAGCCUGAUCCAGCAAUACCGCGUGAGUGAUGAAGGUCUUCGGAUUGUAAAGCUCUUUUAGUAGGGAAGAUAAUGACGGUACCUACAGAAAAAGCACCGGCAAACUUCGUGCCAGCAGCCGCGGUAAUACGAAGGGUGCUAGCGUUGUUCGGAAUUAUUGGGCGUAAAGCGUACGUAGGCGGUUAAGUAAGUCGAUUGUGAAAGCCCCGAGCUCAACUUGGGAAUUGCAACCGAAACUGCUUAGCUUGAGUUUGGUGGGGGAUGAUGGAAUUCCUAGUGUAGGAGUGAAAUCCGUAGAGAUUAGGAGGAACACCGGUGGCGAAAGCGAUCAUCUACGCCAAUACUGACGCUAAGGUACGAAAGCGUGGGGAGCAAACAGG